CAUGCGUGAAGGGAUGGGAGGAAAGAAAGGGCGGUAGAUGAUAAUGUGAAAGGGCGCCGCGUCUGGCUUCAUAGUAAAGCCAAAGAAAGACGCCCCAAGACAAGAUACAACUGUUGGGAAGGGGACAUGAUCAAUAGAACCUGGCUGGAUCCGGGCUGGGAUAGUGGCCCCCAUUCCUAACCAGUUCUGAAAAGGUUCGCUCAUGCUAGAGGUACUAACCACUUAGUGAUCGGUCUGCUAGUUCACGCAAAUCCGAAGAAGUUAUCAUGGACGAGCCACAUG
Molecule: long non-coding RNA, 282 nt
Filed under: Hordeum vulgare
Lineage: Eukaryota; Viridiplantae; Streptophyta; Magnoliopsida; Poales; Poaceae
Description: long non-coding RNA (HVUL_LNC018614)
Source: RNAcentral